RNAcentral lists this ribosomal RNA (493 nucleotides) under uncultured bacterium. Its description in RNAcentral is "partial 16S ribosomal RNA". It matches the Rfam family "Bacterial small subunit ribosomal RNA", at positions 29 to 508 of the family's 1533-position model. The record is from RNAcentral.
AGUGAACGCUGGCGGUAGGCCUAACACAUGCAAGUCGAACGGCAGCACAGUAAGAGCUUGCUCUUACGGGUGGCGAGUGGCGGACGGGUGAGGAAUACAUCGGCAUCUACUUUUUCGUGGGGGAUAACGUAGGGAAACUUACGCUAAUACCGCAUACGACCUACGGGUGAAAGCAGGGGAUCUUCGGACUUUGCGCGAUUGAAUGAGCCGAUGUCGGAUUAGCUAGUUGGCGGGGUAAAGGCCCACCAAGGCGACGAUCCGUAGCUGGUCUGAGAGGAUGAUCAGCCACACUGGAACUGAGACACGGUCCAGACUCCUACGGGAGGCAGCAGUGGGGAAUAUUGGACAAUGGGCGCUAGCCUGAUCCAGCCAUACCGCGUGGGUGAAGAAGGCCUUCGGGUUGGAAAGCCCUUUUGUUGGGAAAGAAAAGCAGCAGGUUAAUACCCCGCUGUUCUGACGGUACCCAAAGAAGAAGCACCGGCUAACUUCGUGC